UAGAGUUUGAUCAUGGCUCAGAUUGAACGCUGGCGGCAGGCCUAACACAUGCAAGUCGAGCGGUAGAGAGAAGCUUGCUUCUCUUGAGAGCGGCGGACGGGUGAGUAAUGCCUAGGAAUCUGCCUGGUAGUGGGGGAUAACGUUCGGAAACGGACGCUAAUACCGCAUACGUCCUACGGGAGAAAGCAGGGGACCUUCGGGCCUUGCGCUAUCAGAUGAGCCUAGGUCGGAUUAGCUAGUUGGUGGGGUAAUGGCUCACCAAGGCGACGAUCCGUAACUGGUCUGAGAGGAUGAUCAGUCACACUGGAACUGAGACACGGUCCAGACUCCUACGGGAGGCAGCAGUGGGGAAUAUUGGACAAUGGGCGAAAGCCUGAUCCAGCCAUGCCGCGUGUGUGAAGAAGGUCUUCGGAUUGUAAAGCACUUUAAGUUGGGAGGAAGGAUUGUAGAUUAAUACUCUGCAAUUUUGACGUUACCGACAGAAUAAGCACCGGCUAACUCUGUGCCAGCAGCCGCGGUAAUACAGAGGGUGCAAGCGUUAAUCGGAAUUACUGGGCGUAAAGCGCGCGUAGGUGGUUUGUUAAGUUGGAUGUGAAAUCCCCGGGCUCAACCUGGGAACUGCAUUCAAAACUGACUGACUAGAGUAUAGUAGAGGGUGGUGGAAUUUCCUGUGUAGCGGUGAAAUGCGUAGAUAUAGGAAGGAACACCAGUGGCGAAGGCGACCACCUGGACUAA
This 735-nucleotide ribosomal RNA is filed under the name uncultured bacterium. RNAcentral's name for it is "bacterial SSU rRNA". It matches the Rfam family "Bacterial small subunit ribosomal RNA", at positions 1 to 737 of the family's 1533-position model. The record is from RNAcentral.